GCUGGAGCUUUUCGUAAGUCGAUAAGAGCAGCAUCUUUCUCUUUGUCUCCAAACCCGUGAAUUUGAUACGCUUUGAAAGCGUUCUUCUAGGCGAAAGAGCUUGGUACUUUCAUGCUUGGAUAGAAGGGGAGAGUUCAAUACCGUGCACGCGACCACAAAGUUGUUUUCGACGAGAAUUCGAUGGGAAGCGGAGGAACGAAUUUUUCCCACAUUCAGAGGCCAAGCCAGGAACUGUAAAACGUUCACCUUUGAAAGGUCCCACCGAGAUUCGAACUCGGAUUGCUGGAUUCAAAGUCCAGAGUGCUAACCAUUACACCAUGGGACCAACCACAAGGGUACAGUAGAGAUUUCUAAAAGAGAUGUUCUGAUUAUUCAAAGACUCUCUACUCAGAAAUGCCAAAAUGUGAGAAAUCAACAUGAGGACCACAGCAGAAGGAAACAGAGAAUGGAGAAGGGA
RNAcentral lists this long non-coding RNA (457 nucleotides) under Homo sapiens (human). Its description in RNAcentral is "non-protein coding lnc-ZBED9-2:3". Lineage: Eukaryota; Metazoa; Chordata; Mammalia; Primates; Hominidae. The record is from RNAcentral.